This is a non-coding RNA of Spodoptera litura, 1238 nucleotides long. Lineage: Eukaryota; Metazoa; Arthropoda; Insecta; Lepidoptera; Noctuidae. The record is from RefSeq and is a predicted model, not a curated record.
UGCUUUGUUACUCGAUUUUUAUUUGCAACUAUACUAUUUAAUAACAUGUUAAUUUUUAGAAGAAAAGCAAAAGAUUACAAAAAGCAAGUAUGCAUUCCAUUAUUGGUUUUAAUGUGGAAAUAUGCGAUUGCACGAUCACAUCGUUAUUGCCACUCUUUUUGGGAAAUCUUUAGCGGUGUCUCGGUAUUUUUCCUUUUAUUUUUCGUUUAUCAAACGACUAAGAGCGCGAGGUCUGAGCCUGACUUCAAUCAAUCUGUGGUAAGGGUGUUCUUCACUCCAGAUAAUAGUUAUACAAGACGGCUAAUUAACAGAGCUGCGAAUUAUUUAGCUCAAAAUGAAAUCGAAACUGGAACAAAUCGGCAGUGGAGGUUUGAAGGCUUCAAGUAUCCAUUGGAUGAAAGAAAAUUUAAUAGCUCCCAAGAUGUUGUGGUGGUGGACUUUAAAGUAUAUUUUUUACAUAUUUUAUAGUGAGGGAAACCCAUGACAGAUUACCGUACACUGCAACUAUUGUAACCUAGCGAUUUAUAAAAAUUAAGUACUUCUACAUACACCUACCACCUUUUUUUGUGAAGAUGAAAGAUCAUGUAAUGACUACAAGGGUGUUGGAUUUUUACUGAUUAAAAAGAAAAUACUUCUUCCAACUCUUCUUCUCUACGCCAAGGCCUCAAUUCCAAUCUCGCUUAAAACUCUGCAUAAAUCCUUGAAGAGGUUGUAUGCAUAGAGGUUGUUUUUUUAUCAUGUGGGAAACCUUUAAAAGUGUAGCAUUUUGGGGACAAAGACUUAAGGACUGUGGAAUUCUGCACAUACUAAAACCUCCAUGGUCACCUUGUACCUAAGUUCCAGCUAGGUAGUAGUAACUCUACAAACACUCCUUUGGAGUACUCUAUAGAUGCUGGCACUAGAGUGCAAGAUAACAAAUUCAACAAAGCAAUAAAUGGAUAUUUUCGUAGUUUUGUUCCACCAGAGAAAGUGGCUCCACCACACAUGGGAUUGCUUCAAUGGGCAAUAGACAAGUCUUACAUAGAACAACGUAUUGGAAAGGCCAUUGUACAGACGGUGUCAUUGAUAACUAUUCCGAAGUACAUAUCUGAAGAACUACACACUUUGCACAAGUUCAUGAUAUUGUGCACAAUAAUUGCGCCACUGCCUUUCUUUCUUUCUCAUUCAGCGACUUUAAUCAUGGAAAGAAGAUCAGGAUUGAGGGUAAGAUACUGCUAUACUGGAGCUAUUUAAAUUAA